RNAcentral lists this ribosomal RNA (482 nucleotides) under uncultured bacterium. RNAcentral describes it as "partial 16S ribosomal RNA". It matches the Rfam family "Bacterial small subunit ribosomal RNA", at positions 30 to 505 of the family's 1533-position model. The record is from RNAcentral.
AUUGAACGCUGGCGGCAGGCCUAACACAUGCAAGUCGAGCGGAUGAAGGGAGCUUGCUCCUGGAUUCAGCGGCGGACGGGUGAGUAAUGCCUAGGAAUCUGCCUGGUAGUGGGGGAUAACGUCCGGAAACGGGCGCUAAUACCGCAUACGUCCUGAGGGAGAAAGUGGGGGAUCUUCGGACCUCACGCUAUCAGAUGAGCCUAGGUCGGAUUAGCUAGUUGGUGGGGUAAAGGCCUACCAAGGCGACGAUCCGUAACUGGUCUGAGAGGAUGAUCAGUCACACUGGAACUGAGACACGGUCCAGACUCCUACGGGAGGCAGCAGUGGGGAAUAUUGGACAAGGGGCGAAAGUCUGAUCCAGCCAUGCCGCGUGUGUGAAGAAGGUCUUCGGAUUGUAAAGCACUUUAAGUUGAGAGGAAGGGCAGUAAGUUAAUACCUUGCUGUUUUGACGUUACCAACAGAAUAAGCACCGGCUAACUUCG